AUACAUACCUGGCAGGGGAGACACCAUGAUCAGGAAGGUGGUUUUCCAGGGCGAGGAUUAUCCAUCGCACUCCGGAGGUGCUGGACCCUGAGAUGUCCCCAAAUGUGGGAAACUCGACUUCAUAAUUUGUGGUAGUGGGGGACUGCGUUCACACUCUCCCAUA
Pteronotus mesoamericanus is the source of this 163-nucleotide small nuclear RNA. RefSeq annotates it as U1 spliceosomal RNA. Lineage: Eukaryota; Metazoa; Chordata; Mammalia; Chiroptera; Mormoopidae. The transcript has a single exon. The record is from RefSeq and is a predicted model, not a curated record.